GAUCUGCGGUCGAGGGUGUCAAAGCUCAGAACGGAGGGGAUGGAACAAUGCGUGUGACGUCACAGACAGCAGAGAGCGCUUGUCGCAUGGCCAACUGAGCUUCGCUGCCGUCAGUUUAGUCAUGCCAACGUUUGAGGAAAGGUGCUAUGUUGUAGUGUAAUCUCGCGGGUGAUAAACGAACUUUUGGUGAAGUUGUGAAGUUUUUGUUUAGCUUAUGGAACACAUUGUGACAUUAUGUUGACUUCUUCUAAUCAGUAUUUGAGACCGGAAUAUCUUACUCCUCUACCUACUACAUUGGACGCAAAGAAAAGUCCUCUCGCAUUGUUGGCCCAAACAUGUAGUCAGAUAGGAGCAGAUACCCCGAACGCGAAGCUUCUUCAAAGUUCAGAAAAAUCAAACAAGUCUGCGAAGACAGAUUGCCAAAAAGAAAAAAAGGAAUUGUCUCAGAACAAUUCAAAAUUGGACGUUGCUAGCCCGAGAGAAAAGUCCAGAUCUCCUGAAGAGAGAUCCAACUCUGGUUCGAGCGGCAAUAGGGUACGAACGCCGAUAGCUUCGAAGCCCCUUACGAACGGAAGAUGUUCUAGCAAUAUUAGUCUUUCUCCUAGAGCUUCUCCUGCUGAAAGGAAGAGUCCUGCGACUGAAAGCUAUGCAGAGGGAACAGCUACUCCCGAGAAAUCCAGCGAAAGGACAACUCCGCACACUCCUUCGUCGUCUGCUUCAAAGACAGCCUUUACACCCAAUAUACUGACGUCGUCUUCUGAUCCAGCUAUCAAGGACUUGCCGUUGGGAACUUUCAAACCGGGGGUUCCUCCUACGACUUCCCCGUUUCUGGGAGCAUAUCCGUCGCCUUCUUUCCCCUUAUCUAUGGACUUAAUGGCCAGUACUUUGAUGAACCAGCACGCUUUAAAAAGUAGUGGACUAGUUCCGUAUCUCGGUUAUGGCAGAAUGAAAACGCAAGACUCACUGUCGUCGGUGUGUAGAGAUCCGUACUGUACGGGAUGUAGUGUUAGUUCUCACUUAUUAGGUGCCUCGAGUGUUGUAAAGUCUUGUCCGGCCGGCUGCACACAGUGUGAUCACGCAAAACCACCCACGACUGUUGGAUACAUGAGCCAUAGUCCUGCAGCUACAGCGUACGCCCACGCGCAGCUAGCCGCCUUGGCUGCAGCUUCUCAUUUACCCUACGUGUGCAAUUGGAUAUCCGGAGACGCAGCCUACUGUGGUAAAAGGUUUUCUAGCUCAGAAGAACUGUUAGCUCACUUAAGGACUCACACUAGUGGAGCGAUAUCGGAUACCGGUUCCGCUUUAUCGAUGUUAGGUUCGCCUGGACUACCCCCCACGCAUCCCCUGCUUCACAGAACAUAUCCAACGCCUCCUCUCAGUCCCUUGGCGACUGCGAGAUAUCACCCGUACAGCAAACCGUCCUUGUUGCCCCCCUCGCUUACUUCAUCCUCGCUGGCGGGGUUUCCCCUAGGGCAUCCAGGAAUCUCUCCAUAUCUCUCCCCAUACUCGCUUUACGGGCCUAGGCUAGGUGCUGCCCCAGGUAUGCAUCAGUAGAUGUUCUCCAGAAGCCAAAUACUAAGAUGCUGUGUUAUAGACUUUUCCUAGUCUUAAAAGAUUACCUUAAAUAUUCCUGGCAGUGGGAAGUGAAUGGUUUUUGUUUUAGUAAAGAUUACUCUAUAUUUUUUGAAAGUUGAAACUGAUUUAACCGAGUCGCAUAUAUGUAGUAGCGAAGAUAGUGUGUGUACUGUCAGAUCGUGCCCUGUCCUUUAUAUCUUUGUAUUUUUAGUUAAAUGACUUUAUAUUUUAUAUUGUUAAAUUUUGAUGUAAUUAUUGUUUUAUUUCUUUUAAAAAAGUAUAUUAAAAAUAUUUACUUCA
This 1875-nucleotide unclassified non-coding RNA is filed under the name Diabrotica virgifera virgifera (western corn rootworm). RNAcentral's name for it is "zinc finger protein Elbow". The record is from RNAcentral. Lineage: Eukaryota; Metazoa; Arthropoda; Insecta; Coleoptera; Chrysomelidae.